Molecule: ribosomal RNA, 910 nt
Filed under: Collembolispora sp. M1068-OL
Lineage: Eukaryota; Fungi; Ascomycota; Leotiomycetes; Helotiales
Description: eukaryotic LSU rRNA
Rfam family: Eukaryotic large subunit ribosomal RNA
Source: RNAcentral
AUAUCAAUAAGCGGAGGAAAAGAAACCAACAGGGAUUACCUCAGUAACGGCGAGUGAAGCGGUAACAGCUCAAAUUUGAAAGCUGGCUCUUUUAGGGUCCGCGUUGUAAUUUGUAGAAGAUGCUUCGGGUGUGGCCCCGGUCUAAGUUCCUUGGAACAGGACGUCAUAGAGGGUGAGAAUCCCGUAUGUGACUGGGUGCUUUCGCUCAUGUGAAGCUCUUUCGACGAGUCGAGUUGUUUGGGAAUGCAGCUCAAAAUGGGUGGUAAAUUUCAUCUAAAGCUAAAUAUUGGCCAGAGACCGAUAGCGCACAAGUAGAGUAAUCGAAAGAUGAAAAGCACUUUGGAAAGAGAGUUAAACAGUACGUGAAAUUGUUGAAAGGGAAGCGCUUGCAACCAGACUUGCGCGCUGAUGAUCAUCCGGGCUUCUGUCCGGUGCACUCGUCUGCGCUCAGGCCAGCAUCGGUUUCGGUGGUGGGAUAAAGGCCUUGGGAAUGUGGCUCCUCUCGGGGAGUGUUAUAGCCCUCGGUGCAAUGCCGCCUACCGGGACCGGGGACCGCGCUUCGGCUAGGAUGCUGGCGUAAUGGUUGUAAGCGACCCGUCUUGAAACACGGACCAAGGAGUCUAACAUCUAUGCGAGUGUUUGGGUGUCAACCCAUACGCGUAAUGAAAGUGAACGGAGGUGAGAACCCUUAAGGGUGCAUCAUCGACCGAUCCUGAUGUCUUCGGAUGGAUUUGAGUAAGAGCAUAGCUGUUGGGACCCGAAAGAUGGUGAACUAUGCGUGAAUAGGUGAAGCCAGAGGAAACUCUGUGAAGCUCGCAGCGAUCUGAACGUUGCCAAUCGAUCGUCAAUUGCGUAUAGGGCGAAGACUAUCGACCAUCUAGUAACUGGGUUUUCCUCGCGCGCGCAGGAU